GAUGAACGCUGGCGGCGUGCCUAAUACAUGCAAGUCGAGCGAACGGACGAGAAGCUUGCUUCUCUGAUGUUAGCGGCGGACGGGUGAGUAACACGUGGAUAACCUACCUAUAAGACUGGGAUAACUUCGGGAAACCGGAGCUAAUACCGGAUAAUCUUUUGAACCGCAUGGUUCAAAAGUGAAAGACGGUCUUGCUGUCACUUAUAGAUGGAUCCGCGCUGCAUUAGCUAGUUGGUAAGGUAACGGCUUACCAAGGCAGCGAUGCAUAGCCGACCUGGUAGACUGAUAGGCCACACUGGAACUGAGACGCGGUCCUGGCUCCUACGGGAGGCAGCAGUAGGGAAUCUUCCGCAGUGGGCGAAAGCCUUACGGAGCAACGCCGCGUGAGUGAUGGAGGUCUUCGGAUCGUAAAACUCUGUUAUUAGGGAAGAACAUAUGUGUAAGUAACUGUGCACAGCUUGACGGUACCUAAUCAGAAAGCCACGGCUAACUACGUG
RNAcentral lists this ribosomal RNA (497 nucleotides) under uncultured bacterium. RNAcentral's name for it is "partial 16S ribosomal RNA". It matches the Rfam family "Bacterial small subunit ribosomal RNA", at positions 28 to 507 of the family's 1533-position model. The record is from RNAcentral.